ACUUUAAAUAACGACUUCUGUUGGGGAGGGCUCUUCUUGGAGUGAUGGUGGUGAUGGAGGUGGAAGGGCCGAGGGGGGCGAGUUCAGAACUUUGCCUGGACUGGGAGGGUGGGAGGACCUGGAGGGAGGAACAAAAGUCGUUUUGUUUGGUGAUGCCGAGUUGACUGGGCCGCCUUGGAACCCCUCACCCAGGAAGGCAGCGAACUGUUUGCUUGUUUACAGCGAAGGUGAGAGUCAAGUUAUCUAUUGAGAGAGGCGAACGGGGAGGGAGAGUGUCAGGGAGCCAGGAAUCUAUCUGAGGACUUCAUAGAAGCGUGCUCGGAUCAAGUCCCAAAUCUUUGGCAUGGUGUUUAUUGGACAAGUGAAGUGUAUUGCAAAUUAGUACCCGAGGUGGCAUUUAUGAAUGAGAAGGGGAAAAAGAAAAUCAACUUCCCCCAUCGUCUGGCAGAUUCCCAAGCAGAGGUCUUCCCCCGUACGCCAACCCCCCUCCCCGCCCCCUCCGCUUUUUGGUAUGUCGUACUUGUUUGUUUUUGGAGGUUCCCACUUUAGUUCCAGCCCACUGCCUGGGUUGGAAGUCCGAGAGGAAACGAACGCAGGGAGCUCUCUGGGAGGCGGACUUACACUUCCUCACGGAUGCGGGAGACUGGGUAAGCCCUUCCAGGCUCCCUCCGCGGGCGGGAGGCGACGCUAACUAAGCAGCCAGCCAGCAGCGGAGGGGACCACCAUGGAGUGAUUUGUAUUGAGAUCAUCACCUGUAUAUACUGCAAAACCAAACCAGAUUCCAGCACCAUUGUGCCCAGUGGAUCUCUGGAAAAAGCAGACUCCUUGACGCUGAAAGUUUUGCGGGGCUUUUUAACUCCUUUCCUUGGGACCAUUUAGAAGCCUCCCACUUCAAGUGAAUUGCAAUGCUUUGCUCUCUAAGUAAAGAAAAAUAAGAGAUUUAGGAUGUAAUAUUCUGUAGUAAAAAAAAAAAAGAAGUUAGCAAUUUUAAGGUCCUAUUCUACCCUAUUCUACCAGCAACACAUUCAGUAGAAGACCUCCUACAAAACAAGUUACUUGAACUUCAAAUACCGUUAGUGUGAUGGACAAAUCUUCCCUCAAAGUUUAAAAAACUAUCUUCUUGUGUAACUUUCAUAAAAACAUACACAGUAAUUAUGCCAGUUUCCCUUAUAUGUGCUCUGGGAGAAAUCCUUGUCCUUUGCGAUGUUUAGGGCUGUUCAGUCUAAAUGACUGAGAAGUCUUGCUGAAGAAGGCCUUCAGUGUGACUUUUCUGUGAAUGACUCUUAUGAACACAAUAAGAAGCUAUUGCAAUGAAAACACUCUCCAAUGGAGAGAACUGUGGCAGGAAAGAGUUAAGUUUCAUUCAUUCAAAAGUGCUCUUCCAGAAGUCUAAGAAGCUGUUACUAGAGGGAGCAGGAUGUCUAAGGUUUGGUUGGAGGCACGUGGGGUGGGGAACUUACUUUUCAAGACAAUAGACUGUCAGGUGUUCUAGGCCCUGCAUCCUGCCCAAGCCAAUUCAUCAGUUAUUAUUUAGAAAACGGUUUUGUUGUGUUCCUGUGUUCAGCUUUCAUUACUGUUUCCUUCUUAAUGAAGUGACUGGGGAUGGGGAGAGUAGGUACAGUACAGGGGGGGAGGAGGUGGCGAAGAGGGAAUGGACAGGAGCGUUCCUGGCUUCUGUUGUGGCGUCUCUUCUAUUUGACUUCAUGGUUGUAAGUAUUUCCAGAUGGUGAAUCAGACACCAGACGUAACAAUAUUUCCAUAUUUGGGUAUAGCAGUAGCCUGCGUUUUUAACAUUUUUCUGCCUCUGUUAUCCAGCCACAAAGCAUUCUUGACAGCUUCAAAUGUUGUUAAAUAUAGACUUAACUUCUGUUCCCAGAGCAGGAAAUUCUUUGGAAUUCCUUGUUUUUCACGCAAUCUGUCUAUCAUAAUCUAAAAUAAAAUUACAGUGGAUGAUCC
This 1956-nucleotide long non-coding RNA is filed under the name Phocoena sinus (vaquita). RNAcentral describes it as "lncRNA (ENSPSNG00000004052.1)". Lineage: Eukaryota; Metazoa; Chordata; Mammalia; Artiodactyla; Phocoenidae. The record is from RNAcentral.